Astyanax mexicanus (Mexican tetra) is the source of this 973-nucleotide long non-coding RNA. RefSeq lists it as uncharacterized. The transcript has 6 exons. The record is from RefSeq and is a predicted model, not a curated record. Lineage: Eukaryota; Metazoa; Chordata; Actinopteri; Characiformes; Acestrorhamphidae.
UCAUUCAGACACAAGCCGAAGGAGCCACACGCGCUCCUCUUUCCUCCUUUUCUCCCCGCCAUGGAGCACUUCUAUCCUCCUUCUCUUCCCUCUCUUCUCACUCCCUCCCUCGCUCCGGCCUCCACACCGAGCCGAGAGAUCUGUGAUCUGCCUUCUCUCUCCGAGGGGUCCUGACCCCCACCACACACACGGACCAAACGCCAAACCGGAGAGAAAAGGAGAAAUCCAUGUCUGUCUAUAGUCUGCCAAGCCAUGGAUGGAGCAGUGUGUGCUGGUCACAAGGCAUGCAGAUCACUGAUCAACUUUAAAGCCAGAAUAUCUCAGCUGCAGUCGUCGUCCACUGGAGUGACCGGUGUCUGAAGAAGAGAUUACCCUGAGAUCCCCUGAAAAUCUGAAGAUGAGCAAGACUUCUUGAAUAAAGAAUUACUGUGCAUCUAACCUAAACCCGGCUGAGAUGAUAGAAGGAGCCGAGAAGUGCUCAGCAGCUCUGGAAUUCUUUAAAGACUGUUUGAGAUCCAUUCCUGGUGACCACCCUAUCAAACAAAAGAGUCACUGUGGAUCUGGAGCCCAGCAGAAGUCCGACAGGGCACAAUGUUCAUCACAGGGUACCACACACACCCAUUCACUCAUACUGAGUAAAACAGAAGAAAUAUAUAAAAAAAUUGAGAUGAAUAUGCUUAUAUUACAAAAAAUCUACCCAUGGGGUUAUCUCAUUUUAUAUAUGCUCACAGCCAGCACAGAGUUACUAUAGCAGCUCAGAAAUUAUACUUGCUCUUACAGCCUACAACACAAAGACCAAGCAGUUAAUCAUAAUAUAUGAUCUACAAGUUCAUUUAUGAUAGCCUGGGGAGAAUGACUACACACUGGGAGACACACCCAGUAUAUGCAAAUAGAUUGUGCCAAAAGCCAAUAGAAAAAAAGUUUAUUUAUUAAAACUCAGUUAUUGUAAGUUGAUUUCUGUUUAAAUCUUUGA